This 439-nucleotide ribosomal RNA is filed under the name uncultured bacterium. Its description in RNAcentral is "partial 16S ribosomal RNA". It matches the Rfam family "Bacterial small subunit ribosomal RNA", at positions 338 to 795 of the family's 1533-position model. The record is from RNAcentral.
CCUACGGGUGGCAGCAGUGGGGAAUAUUGGGCAAUGGGCGCAAGCCUGACCCAGCAACGCCGCGUGAAGGAAGAAGGCUUUCGGGUUGUAAACUUCUUUUAAGAGGGAAGAACAGAAGACGGUACCUAUUGAAUAAGCCACGGCUUACUACGUGCCAGCAGCCGCGGUAAUACGUAGGUGGCAGGCGUUGUCCGGAUUUACUGGGUGUAAAGGGUGUGCAGCCGGGAAGACAAGUCAGAUGUGACAUCUCGCGGCACAACCGCGGAACUGCAGUUGAAACUGUGUUUCUGGAGUACCGGGGAGGUCAUCGGAAUUGGUGGUGUGGCGGUGAGAGGCGUGGAUAUGAGGAAGAACGGCAGUGGCGGAGGCGGAUGGCUGGACGGCAACUGACGGUGAGGCGAGAAGGGGUGGGGAGCAAGCAGGAUUAGAUCUUGUAGUC